GAUGGCCGCAGCGUCCCUGGAGCCCUAGCGCCCGCGCUAUAAAAGCGGCAGCAGCCGCUCGCCCUUCUUCUACCCGCCGCCGCCGCCAUAGCCGACUCGAAGCUCCGCACCCUCACCAAGCGCCUCGACCCCGACCUCGCCCCGCGCACCUGCACCACCGAGCUCGGUCACGCCGUGACGCCGUCGAUCGCCACCACGAUGUCGCCCGCAACUGCGUCGCCCGAGCGUCUCGUCCUCGGCACCACCUCGGCACUCGCACCGCGCCCUCGCCGAGCAGCAGCAGAGCCGCGGCCAUGGCCUCGCCCUGCCGACGCCGCCAAGCACCACUGCGCCCGCCUCGGCCGUGCCCCUACCUCUGUGUCAAGCUUCAUCACCACGCGGGGGUCAGCCGCGGUGCCGUCCUCGCUGCGCAGCGGCCUCGCCCGGCGACGUCGAGCCCGCUGCCCUCGCCGCGUCGAGCUUCGACCACGGCCGGCCGCGUGGACGCCACAGCCCGGCCGAGCCUCUGCCUCGCCACCGUGGGAGUCGCCGCGGCCACGACGCCUUCAGCCCCGGCGCCCCUCCGCGUCUACGACGGUGUCGACCGCGAGCCCCCGUGCUGUCAUGGAGCUUACCUCGUCGAGCCGACACGCCGUCGACAGAGCCACCGAUGCCGCGCGCCGGGCACCAGAGCAAGCCCCUUCGCCGAGCACCCGAUGCGCCCCGUUGCCGCGGCCACGCCAGGACAUCGCCAUGGUCACCGCGUCAGCGCCGGCCGUGGUGAUCGCGACCCCGACCACGACGCCGUGCUCAUCUUGCCACGGUGACCGCGAACUUCCCUUUUGCUGGCUGCCGAUCACCACUGAACGUGCAGCAGCGGCAGCACCACCCCGCGCGAAGCUCUUCUCUGCCGCCGGUGAGCCACCAGUGCCCAAGUGCCCUCCUUGCUAGCUUUCUGUUUUGCCUUGCUGAAACCGGCCUUUGUGCCGUGUUCUUCACUGUACAGGGAUGCUGCACCCAUGUCGUGCCACUUGCCGGAGCCGUUGGACUUAACAUCGCUGCUGUUGGAGCACCGAACCUCGAGGCGUUGCCGAACCCCAAGACUUCUCUUUCAGAUGCACCCCGGCCACUUGCAGCAAGCCGCGACCAAGCUGUAGAAGCCCUCUGCCAUCCUCGCCCGCAAGGUCGAACCUUGAACCUAGCCGACAUCGUCUCCGACGUUGGCAAAACCCUUGCCGUUCAUUUCGAUAUCAUACAUGCCAUGUAUCUUGCUCAUGUAUGCAUUAUGAUCUAUCUGCAUGACCAUUUGUUCAUCUAUCCAUGUCAUGCACUUGUUACAUGAUUAUUCAUCUCAUAUCUCGUUUAAUGCGCGAUCUAUCUUCGUCUAUAUCUCUGCCUGUGCCGUGCCUUCGUGCCGGUCUAUUUAUCUAUCUCUAUCUCUUUUGGUCGCUAUGGAAAUGUGCUACUCCGAGUCGUCGUCUUGUUAGUGUUGCAAUUUGUGCUUUUGUUCUUGUCGUUGUGGACCGUGCCGUCGAGCCGGUUGAGAGAGUGACGUGUUUGGAUGUUGCGAUCGCGAGUUCGUCUCGCCAUGGCCGUAAUGCCGAGCAUGUCCCUUCUCUCGUAUUUCUGUUGUUCCUUCUUUUGUUAUUUGCAUGCCUGAGGACCGAGCCUUCGAGCCGGUUAGGGAAAAUGGUGGAGCGAUCGAUCAUUUCGAUCGUGGGUUCGUCCCGCCGUGAUCGCGAUGCCGAGCGUAACUCAUUCCCUGUGAUUAGUUGUCUUCGCUGCGCUACGGUCGUUAGCUCCUAUUCCCGUCCCUCGAACGUGGUCAUCGUGGACUCGAUGUCGUUAACGACGCGGUUCUUACCCGCACACUCGAGACCUAAAUGACCUAGUCUAGUGGGAUACGAAUUAGGGGACAACCUUCGUAGAACUAUCGGAGAAACUCGUUAGGUGAAGCUCAUGGCCGCGAGUCCACCUUGCCAUGGCCAUUGGGCUUUACCCCAUUUCUCCCGUGUUUAUCCUAACCACCUCGUAUGCUUGUACCACUUCGACUAUAGCAUUCCCUCGGACCUAGCGGUGACAACCACAUCGCUAUGGGCCUUAGGAAUAGCCUUGUGCUGAUUUAGAUGCACAGUCAUGGUGCCCUACAAGUGGGUUGGGAUCGUGGGGUCGUAUUCCUUUUAUCCAACCGUCGUUGUUCCAUGAUGAGUUGGUCGAAAGAGUAUGGACUCCAUUCUUCUUCUCUCUUGUUCUCAAUCCCGUCGAUCCAGUAAGAUGGGGAUUAAGCCCCUUUUGCUUGUUUGAUGUUUUGUUUCCAAUCCCGCGAUUCCCGCCGUUGCUAUGGCGAGCGGAUCAAAGGAAGGUGAAUCCCGUGUCUUUUUCCGCCUUUUUGGUUCUUCGUGCUUAAACUCUUGUAUGCUUGUACCUAUAUCGAUCGUAGCAUUUCUUUGGUUCUUGUGGUGACAACCGCACCGCAAAGAACCUUAGUGAUGUCAUAGUGCAUUUAGUGCACCUAGGUUGUGGUACCCUACAAGUGGUUUGAGUACUCGUGUUCCUUAUGUGUCACUCUUUCUAAUCCCCCGUCUCUUACCAUGGCGAGUGGAUGGGAAGAAGUAGACCACUCCCCUUUUCUUCUUUCCUUGUUCCACCCUCUCUUGGCUCUCGCCAACUACAAUGGCGUAUGGAUUGAGAGAGACCGGAACUUCGCGUGCUCAUAGUCUUUUCGAUUCUUGUCGAUCUCCGUGAUGCUUGGAUCGAAGAGCCACUACCUAUGGUGUUUGCUUAUGAUAAGUUAGGGUCUAAGCCAAUUAUUAAAGUCGUACAGGUUGACUUAGUCGACCCAGGAAGUACCGGCUAGGCUAAGACUCCAGCUUGUACUUAGUGAACAACCAUUCCCAUUUCUUUUAGCCCAAAGAUCGGACAUCCGCCGAGAGGGCUAAGCCGUUUUCCUUUCGUUGCUCUUUUAGUGUAGUUGUUCCUCAGUGUUAUGUCGUCUCUUUUCGUAGUCUUUCGAGGUCUAGUGGUUUGAUUGUUUCGCCUUGUUUGUCGCUUUCGAGGUAGUCGCUUCGAGGUUAGCGUUGAUCGGACCAGGACCAGUUGAAGGAAGAACAUGUAGAAAGGAGGAUCUUGGAUGAGUACAACUACAAGUGAACUGAGGAUCUUGGAAAUGUCACUCGACAGGUGCCACGUCCCACCCAACCUCGUAGAAUCCUAUUAGACAUGCAAUAUUAUAGAUGCUAGUGCUUUACUUUUAUGCAAAUGAACUAUGAUAGGUUGCAUGGUAGAAAUGCUUGUGAGCCAUUGCCUUGUUGCAACCUAUAACCCUCGCACACCCGCUGUUAGGUUAGAUGCUUGCAUACUACUUGCCACUGCUUCUACUACGCAUUAUAUCUGUGAUGUGAUGCAUUGUGGAGGAUUGGAUGUGAGUGGAUAAGGCACGUGUGCCGAUAACUGGUUAAGAAAUGGAUAAUGGAUAUGGGGAGAUCUUGGCGUGUGUCUUGGGUGUGUGGUGAGGGUCGAGUCGACCGAGCAGGAUUUACGACGAGUCUUGGGACAAGUCUUGCCGGGGAAUGCUACCUGGGCGUUCUCCAUGAGAGAUACCUGUGGCGGGUACAUGUGACAGGGAGAGGUCCCGGAGUGGAGUGUCUUCGUGGGACGAAGCACCGGGAUGGGAGGUGCUGUAUAGCACGGGGUAGCCGGGUGUCCCGUCGAGAGGGGCAUCGGCUGGCCCCUCGUGAAGAUGUCCUGUUCGGUUACCCUAAGGACUGAGAUGUUCUGAGAACCGGUUCGUAGGAAGCCUUACACGCCACUCGCCUUAUUAUGGUGCGGGACGGAUGUACGACCAGCUAGUGCGGUGCCACUACUACUAGGUUGAUAGCGGAUAGUGUAGGGAGGUACGGGCAUGAGGACCCACACCCUCCUAAGACAGCGUAGUGACCUUUGGGGGCCCGGUACUACGCCUCACAGUCUCAGCAUGCCGGUGGUACUCCGGUAUGGCCCCAGUCCUGAGUGGUAGGGUGGCAUCGUAUUUAGUUGGAAGGCAGCCCGGUAUCAGCCUAGACGAGCCGGUUCGUCGAUGAUGGUGAUCUUGUGGUUAGUGUAAACCUCUGCAGAGUUUGGUUGAUCGAUCGAUACAUAUGCCGUCUUCUCGGCUAUGGACCUUUCCUAUGUUCCGCUUCGCUUGACUAGUGAGAGGAGUCCCUUCUAUCUUCCCCUGGGUUUGUGUUGGAUCCGGCGUUGGCCGUUGAGGCAAGGCACGAGCGGGAGUCGUACUUGCCGCCUAGAGAGUGAGAGUGUGGUGAGAUGUGUGUGAUGGGAUGGAUGGAUGGAUGUGUGGAUGAGAUGGAUUAAAACUUGAUGAAUUAUUAUUAUUAAAAUAUUGAUGAACUUGCAUAGAAAAAACUACAGCCAUAUAUAGGCCUCUUGAUCUACCCUUUUGCAUUCCACUUACCACAAAGCUUACGCAAAAGCAUAGGGUGGGAGCCAGUGGCCAGUACAAAUCGUACUGAAAAUUGUUUAGCAGGUUUUGAACGUGAUCUAUGACGAUAACUACGGAGAAUAGAAGGAUUAGGUGGUCUCGUUCCUGCGCUCAAGUUUGGUUCAGAGAUGAAGGCUGCGCCCGCUGAUAAACUACGCCGACUCUGAUGAUUGUCCGUGAAGGAGGAGCCUUCACCGCUGUCGCGCUACAUCGACUCUGAUAAAGACUCGCGUGUGUUUCCGCUAGAAAAACAAUGUAAUAAGCUUGUUAAUCAAGAGUUGUAAAGCAAAUGUGUUGUAAUCUUGUUUCUCACGAUGUAUGACUACGAUAACAGCUGAUAUAUGAUAAUGCGAUGGUUCAAUUUUUGAAUUAUCACAUUAUAAUUCGAAUCUGUGGAUUUUUCCCUUUGUGGAAAAAUCUGGGUCGUUUCAGUUGGUAUCAGAGCCAUACUUGACCCUAGGACGAGACCAUUAGGACCAAACACUAGUUUAGAAGCCAAACAUUCUAUCUUUUGUAGAGUUAUAGAUGCUAACACUUGUUUUCCCCCCUCCGCCUUGAAUUCUGUUGCUAACUGACCUCCCUGUUUCAUAAAGUUGACCGUUGGAAUCUUUUCCCAUACCCGCCCACGCUAGAUCGGUAGUCGUGUGAGACUUUGAAGGUCUGUGAGUCGCCUCAAGUCAACACUAUGCAUUAGGAGUUGUAAUGCUGAUUGAGUGCUUGGAUCUUAUGUUCUUGCGUUUCGUCUGCUUCUUGUUGUUUGAGUGUAUGUCAUAGAACUGUUUUAUGCGAGAAAAACUCUGGAUCCCGUCCAAUCUAGCUGGCUAAACCUAAGACUGUCCCGAAACUAGAUAAGUGACCCUGGCUAACAGAGCCGAAAAAGGGUUUAAAGCUGAUGCAUCAUGUCUUGCCCAUCUAUUUCAAAACUGUUUUUGGCUUCCAACUAAACUUGUCUUCAAAAUUGCCCUUUUGUUGAAAAAGUUUCUCUCCUUUUUGGUUGAAAAAGUUUAUCUCUUUUACAAAACAUCUUGGUUUCAAAAGGAAAAGUGUUUCAAAACUCUCUCAAUAUUCUUCCCUUUUCACAAAUAAAGCAAUUUUAACCCCCCUUUCUCAACUCAAACUCUAUUUAUGAAACGGUUUAAAAACAAGUUAUCUUCAAAAGGUGUUACCAAUCCUCUUUCUGAAAAUCAAAAGUUCUACCUUCAACCAACAAAGUGGUUUUCAAACCAAAGAUCUUUGGCUCAGUUUUGUUUUAAAUGUCUUUGAUUUUAUCUCAAGAGCCAAAUUCCUUUUAAAAUUCAACCUUGCCUUAAAAGAAAAAGGAAUUCCCAGUGAUUUAUUAAACAAAAACCAUUGUGAAAAGUUUUUGUUUAGCAACCUUUCAAAAAAAAGAACGAAAUGGACUUUCAAGUUUCAAAAAUGUUUUGGUUGUGAAGGCUCUAACUUUCAAAAUGCGAAAUGAUUUCUUGUUAUUUUCAAAACUAAUUUGUUUGACUCUAAUAAAAAGGGAGCAAUACCUUGUUUUAAAGAAAAUAGUAAUAAUAAAAUGAAAGAAUUUUAAAAUCUUUUGAUUUGAAAUCUUUUAUAAUAAAACCUUCAAAAUAUUUGGUUCUCAAAACUUGUAUUGAAUUCAACCCUCUGCAAAAGCUCUCUUCAUUUUGAAGUCUCAAAAAAAAAAUUGACUUUGUAAAAUCGCUUUCACUCCAUUUAUGAAACCUGUUUUUUCCGAAAAACAUUCCUUUCAAAAGCUUUUUGCAAAGAGUGAUGCAUGAAAAACUGCUGGUGAAAGCCAACAACCCUAGCUAUGUUUAAGCCUGCCAUGCACUCCUAGAGAGCCAGAUGUUCAUCAACCUGGUGCGAUUCUUGGAUACCCAUCGCCUUAUUGUGAGAAUUUGGAUACCCAACACCAGCGAGUGAGCCUUGGAUACAUCCUGAACAUGACUCGCCCCCACAUGGAAAAGGUUUGUGGAGCCAUCUUUCUGAUAGCAAAACAACUCAGAAGUAAGAAAAGCUUUGGGAACGACACCCGCGUUUCUUCACCGACCGAGCAACGCCUAAAUCUCGGGGACGAGAUUCCUGUAAGGAGGGUGGACUGUAACAUCCCAGAUUUUCACGAAAACCAAAAAUACGAGUUUUUUUAAAAUUUUUCCUGUAAUCGUGUGAAUCAUAUAGUAUUUAGGUCAAACUCGAUCCUAACCCGCUAACAAAUCGUGGCAUACAUAUAGAUUUGUUUGUAGACGGGUCGUCUUAAGUUGGAUCUUGUUAGGGUUUUGAGUUUCUUUUGGAGUGCACAAAUCCGUAGCAAAGCCUUCCCGAAUUUUCGUUGAGCCUAUCUCAAAGGCGAAGCGGAUCCCUUCUCAACCUUUUCGUUGGAGUACGUCUCAAACUCCUUUUGAUCCUUUUGAACUCUCCCUGAAAUUCCCUUCUCUCUCUCUUUGAUCUUAUCUAAAUCUCCUCCGCAAAAUCUAUCUUAAAUUCAUGGUAACUCAUCUCAAUCUCUUGUUGAGUUCUCUCUCGAAUGCCCCUCAUUUUUUUUUCCCUUUUAAAAUUUCUCUCAAAGCCCUUGAGUCAAAUUCGUAAAUGGAAGAUCCAUCUCCUUUCAUGGGCCAAUUCUUUCCUCCUCUUCCUCCCUCCCUCGGCCCAGCCUGGGCACCCUUCCCCCCUGUCCGGCCCAACUCGCGCGCGCCAAGGCCCAGUCUGCCCCUUACCCCCCAGCCAGGUCGGCCCACCUCGUUCCCCCUGUCUCCCCUCCGAGGCCCAGCUCUUUCCUUGGCCCAUCCAGUGCCGCGCUGGCCCAUUCGCUUCUCCCUGCUCUGGCCCAAGUCGUGGCCGGCCCAGCAGCCAGCGCCCCAGCCCCAACCCUAGCAGGGAGCUGGACACCUGAGCCCCAGAGCCGCCGCCGCCGUCGCCCAAGGCAGAGCCGCGCCAGCGCUCGCGCCUGCCACGGCUUCCGUGCGACCCCGCAUCCACCGCCGCGUGUCCCGCUGCGGACACGGACGCCGAGGAUGGCCGCAGCGUCCCUGGAGCCCUAGCGCCCGCGCUAUAAAAGCGGCAGCAGCCGCUCGCCCUUCUUCUACCCGCCGCCGCCGCCAUAGCCGACUCGAAGCUCCGCACCCUCACCAAGCGCCUCGACCCCGACCUCGCCCCGCGCACCUGCACCACCGAGCUCGGUCACGCCGUGACGCCGUCGAUCGCCACCACGAUGUCGCCCGCAACUGCGUCGCCCGAGCGUCUCGUCCUCGGCACCACCUCGGCACUCGCACCGCGCCCUCGCCGAGCAGCAGCAGAGCCGCGGCCAUGGCCUCGCCCUGCCGACGCCGCCAAGCACCACUGCGCCCGCCUCGGCCGUGCCCCUACCUCUGUGUCAAGCUUCAUCACCACGCGGGGGUCAGCCGCGGUGCCGUCCUCGCUGCGCAGCGGCCUCGCCCGGCGACGUCGAGCCCGCUGCCCUCGCCGCGUCGAGCUUCGACCACGGCCGGCCGCGUGGACGCCACAGCCCGGCCGAGCCUCUGCCUCGCCACCGUGGGAGUCGCCGCGGCCACGACGCCUUCAGCCCCGGCGCCCCUCCGCGUCUACGACGGUGUCGACCGCGAGCCCCCGUGCUGUCAUGGAGCUUAC
This 8071-nucleotide long non-coding RNA is filed under the name Sorghum bicolor (sorghum). RNAcentral's name for it is "long non-coding RNA (SBIC_LNC000089)". Lineage: Eukaryota; Viridiplantae; Streptophyta; Magnoliopsida; Poales; Poaceae. The record is from RNAcentral.